UGAUUGAAGCCGGAAUUUUGAACCAGCGACCUAAGGAUCACUGCUAUACAUCCAAAGUCCUCCGCUUUGCCUAAGAAUAAGCAUAUUUACGCC
Molecule: non-coding RNA, 93 nt
Organism: Cordylochernes scorpioides
Lineage: Eukaryota; Metazoa; Arthropoda; Arachnida; Pseudoscorpiones; Chernetidae
Source: the annotation of a GenBank genome assembly